AGAGUUUGAUCCUGGCUCAGAACGAACGCUGGCGGCAGGCCUAACACAUGCAAGUCGAGCGCUUUAACCACUUCGGUGGAGCGAGAGCGGCGGACGGGUGAGUAACGCGUGGGAAUAUGCCCUUCACUGCGGAAUAGCCUCGGGAAACUGAGAGUAAUACCGCAUACGCCCUUCGGGGGAAAGAUUUAUCGGUGAAGGAUUAGCCCGCGUUGGAUUAGGUAGUUGGUGGGGUAAAAGCCUACCAAGCCGACGAUCCAUAGCUGGUUUGAGAGGAUGAUCAGCCACACUGGGACUGAGACACGGCCCAGACUCCUACGGGAGGCAGCAGUGGGGAAUCUUAGACAAUGGGGGAAACCCUGAUCUAGCCAUGCCGCGUGAGUGACGAAGGCCUUAGGGUCGUAAAGCUCUUUCGCCAGGGAAGAUAAUGACGGUACCUGGUAAAGAAACCCCGGCUAACUCCGUGCCAGCAGCCGCGGUAAUACGGAGGGGGUUAGCGUUGUUCGGAAUUACUGGGGCGUAAGCGCGCGUAGGCGGACUAUUAAGUUAGUGGUGAAAUCCCAGGGGCUCAACCCCUGGAACUGCCUCUAAUACUGGUAGUCUUGAGUUCGAGAGAAGUGAGUGGAAUUCCGAGUGUAGAGGUGAAUUCGUAGAUAUCGGAAGACACCAGUGGCGAGGCCGCUCCUGGGCUCGAUCUGAGCU
This 699-nucleotide ribosomal RNA is filed under the name uncultured bacterium. Its description in RNAcentral is "bacterial SSU rRNA". It matches the Rfam family "Bacterial small subunit ribosomal RNA", at positions 8 to 747 of the family's 1533-position model. The record is from RNAcentral.